Molecule: transfer RNA, 78 nt
Filed under: Promethearchaeota archaeon
Lineage: Archaea; Promethearchaeati; Promethearchaeota
Also listed under: 1 other name
Description: Candidatus Lokiarchaeota archaeon (marine sediment metagenome) tRNA-Pro
Rfam family: tRNA
About the family: Transfer RNA (tRNA) molecules are approximately 80 nucleotides in length. Their secondary structure includes four short double-helical elements and three loops (D, anti-codon, and T loops).
Source: RNAcentral
GGGGUCAUGGUGUAGCAUGGUCUAGCAUCCUUCGCUUGGGACGAUGUGACUCUAGUUCAAAUCUAGAUGACCCCACCA